RNAcentral lists this long non-coding RNA (1747 nucleotides) under Canis lupus familiaris (dog). RNAcentral describes it as "lncRNA (ENSCAFG00000053404.1)". Lineage: Eukaryota; Metazoa; Chordata; Mammalia; Carnivora; Canidae. The record is from RNAcentral.
UUUUACUAUGAGUUCUUGUUGGCCUGGAGGAAAUUCAUCUUCAAGGGUCUCUGGAGACUGGAAAAGAAGCUUGGACUGGGCUGGAGAAAAUUCAACCUGCUCAGGGGGAACUGGAGCUUAAGCAGAGGCCUCCUGCUGCCCUGGAGAAUGUUCAAACUUAGUGGGCACUGGAGUUAUGAAAACCUCCAGAUCUACAGGUUUUGCUGUGAUAUUGGGCAACAUUGGAUGCUGAGCUUCACCAGGACCUAGACGUGAGGAUGUCACCUCAUGAUGUACUGGAGGCUGAGCUACAAUAUCUGUAGAGGACUCUGGAGGCUGAGCCUGGUGCUCAGGCUGGACUGGAGAAGGUUCUACACCUACGACAGGCAUCUGAGGCAAAAGAUGAGCUCCACUGCUGGCUUGGAGAAAGUUCAGUUUCCUCAGGAAGAUCUCCAGUCUGUGUUGGUACUCCCUGCUGAUCUGGAUAAGGUUCAACAUUUUCAGCAGGGGCUGGAUGUUAUUCUGGAAACUCCUGCUGGAUUGGAGAAGGUUCAACCUCACCAGAAGGUUCUGGAUACUGAGCUGUGGCUUCUUGUUGAGUGGCAGAAGGGUUAACUUCCUCAUAGGUCUGUAGAUGCUGACUUGGGGCUUCCUGAUGGGUUGCAGAAGGUUUAACCUCCCCUAGGGGAUUUGGAUGUUGAACUGUGGCCUCUGACUGGGCUGGAACAGGUUCAGUGCCCUCAAGGGACUCUGCAUACUUAGCUGGGGUCUCUGUUUGGGUUGGAGAAGGCUCACCCUCCUCUGGGGUCUGAGGGUGCUGAGUUGGGGACUCCUCCUGGGUUAGAGGAGGUUUGAUCCCCUCGGAGGACUGUGGGUGCUGAGGGGGGCUUCUUGUUGGAUUGGAAAAGGUGCAACCUCCUCAGAGGUCUGUGGAUGCUGACCCUGGCUUUCCUCCUGGGUUAAAGAUUCACUCUUCACAUGAAUCUGUGGAAAUUGAGUGGGAGCCUCUUCCUGAGCUGGAGAUGGUUCUCCCUCCUCAGAGGCCUGUGGAUACUGGGUUGGGGCCUCCUGCUGGGUUGAAGAAGGUUUAGCUUUCUCAGGAGUCUGUGCAUGAUGAUCCUGGCUCUCCUCCUGUAUUGAGGAAGGUUCACCCUCCUCAGGGAUUUGUGGAAGCUCAGCAGGGGCCUCCUGCUGGGGUGGAGAAGGUUCCUUCUCUUCCUGAGUCCCUGGAAGUUGAGCCAGGGCUCCUCCUGGGUUGAAGGUGAUUCACCCUCCUCAGGAGCCUGUGAAUCCUGAGCCAGGGUGUCCUGCUGGGUUGUGGAAGGUUUAACCUCUCCAGGGGUCUGAACAGGGUCUCCUGCUGUGUUGGAGGUUUCUCCUGUGUGGGAGAUUCUGGGGACUCAGUUGGAGUCUCCUGUUGAAAUGGCAAAUGUUCAUUUCUCCUCAGGGGACUGUGGAGGCAGAGUUGGGCUUCAUGCUGGGUUGCAAAAGGUUCCACAUUAAGGGGCACAGAGGGCUGAGUGACAGACUCACGUUGAACUGGCAAAGGUCCCACCUCUGUAGUGGGUUCUGGUGUUACAGUAACCUGCACGCCUGCAGGUUUAACAGUGAUAUUGGGCAGGUUUAACUGUUGAACCUGAUGGUGACCUGGAGGUGCAACUUUCACCUCAUGAUGCUCUAGAGGUUGAGCUGGGUGCUCCUGCUGGGUUGGAAUAGGUUCCACCUCCCCCAAAGACAGCUCUGGUGCUGAGCUGGUUGUUCUUGCGGA